This 563-nucleotide ribosomal RNA is filed under the name Incilius perplexus (confusing toad). RNAcentral's name for it is "partial 16S ribosomal RNA". It matches the Rfam family "Bacterial large subunit ribosomal RNA", at positions 1832 to 2594 of the family's 2925-position model. Lineage: Eukaryota; Metazoa; Chordata; Amphibia; Anura; Bufonidae. The record is from RNAcentral.
CGCCUCUUGAAUAACUAUAAGAGGUCCAGCCUGCCCAGUGACAAUGUUCAACGGCCGCGGUAUCCUAACCGUGCGAAGGUAGCGUAAUCACUUGUUCUUUAAAUGUGGACUAGUAUGAAUGGCACCACGAAGGUUAUACUGUCUCCUUUUUCCAAUCAGUGAAACUAAUCUCCCCGUGAAGAAGCGGGGAUAAAACUAUAAGACGAGAAGACCCUAUGGAGCUUUAAACAACAUAGCAUUUGCCCUACAACAUAAAAAUUCCUGAAAACUUUAAUUUAAGCAGGCAAUAUGACUAUAAGUUUUUGGUUGGGGUGACCACGGAGCAUAACACAACCUCCAUGUUGAAAGAAUCUUUYUAAGCUAAGACUUACUGGUCUAAGCAUCAUUAUAAUGACAUCCAUUGACCCAAUAUAUUUGAUCAACGAACCAAGUUACCCUAGGGAUAACAGCGCAAUCCACUUCAAGAGCUCCUAUCGACAAGUGGGUUUACGACCUCGAUGUUGGAUCAGGGUAUCCCAGUGGUGCAGCCGCUACUAAAGGUUCGUUUGUUCAACGAUUAAAAC